UACAGAGGUGCCAAGCGUUAGGCGGAAUCACUGGGCUUAAAGCGUGUGUAGGCGGAUCGUUAAGUGCUUUGUGAAAUCCCCCGGCUUAACCGGGGAACGGCUUGGCAGACUGGCGAUCUUGAGCCACCUAGGGGCAACUGGAACAAACGGUGGAGCGGUGAAAUGCGUAGAUAUCGUUUGGAACGCCCAUGGUGAAAACAGGUUGCUAGGGGUGAGCUGACGCUGAGACACGAAAGCCAGGGGAG
Molecule: ribosomal RNA, 245 nt
Filed under: uncultured bacterium
Lineage: Bacteria
Description: partial 16S ribosomal RNA
Rfam family: Bacterial small subunit ribosomal RNA
Source: RNAcentral